This 305-nucleotide ribosomal RNA is filed under the name uncultured bacterium. RNAcentral describes it as "bacterial SSU rRNA". It matches the Rfam family "Bacterial small subunit ribosomal RNA", at positions 333 to 653 of the family's 1533-position model. The record is from RNAcentral.
GCGAUCCUACGGGGGGCAGCAGUGGGGAAUAUUGGGCAAUGGGCGCAAGCCUGACCCAGCAACGCCGCGUGAAGGAAGAAGGCUUUCGGGUUGUAAACUUCUUUUAUGAGGGACGAAACAAAUGACGGUACCUCAUGAAUAAGCCACGGCUAACUACGUGCCAGCAGCCGCGGUAAUACGGAGGAUGCGAGCGUUAUCCGGAUUUAUUGGGUUUAAAGGGUGCGCAGGCGGCCUGUUAAGUCAGCGGUAAAAGCCCGGGGCUCAACCCCGGCGAGCCGUUGAAACUGGCGGGCUGGAGUUGGAGA